This 539-nucleotide ribosomal RNA is filed under the name uncultured bacterium. RNAcentral describes it as "bacterial SSU rRNA". It matches the Rfam family "Bacterial small subunit ribosomal RNA", at positions 8 to 525 of the family's 1533-position model. The record is from RNAcentral.
AGAGUUUGAUCCUGGCUCAGAACGAACGCUGGCGGCGUGCCUAACACAUGCAAGUCGAACGGGAGUAAGAAGCUUGCUUUUUACUUUAGUGGCGCACGGGUGAGUAACGCGUAGAUAAUCUGCCUUGGAAUCUGGGAUAACAUCUCGAAAGGGGUGCUAAUACCGGAUAAGCCCACGGAGGCGCGAGUCUUUGCGGGAAAAGGGGGCCUCUGAACAUGCUCCUGUUUCAAGAUGAGUCUGCGUACCAUUAGCUAGUUGGUGGGGUAAGGGCCUACCAAGGCUACGAUGGUUAGCUGGUCUGAGAGGAUGAUCAGCCACACUGGAACUGAGACACGGUCCAGACUCCUACGGGAGGCAGCAGUGGGGAAUUUUGCGCAAUGGGGGCAACCCUGACGCAGCAACGCCGCGUGAGUGAUGAAGGCUUUCGGGUCGUAAAGCUCUGUCAGACGGAAAGAAAUCGGGCGCGUGAAUAGCGUGCCUGGAUGACGGUACUGUCAGAAGAAGCACCGGCUAACUACGUGCCAGCAGCCGCGGUAAUA